This 377-nucleotide long non-coding RNA is filed under the name Gossypium barbadense (sea-island cotton). Its description in RNAcentral is "long non-coding RNA (GBAR_LNC005439)". The record is from RNAcentral. Lineage: Eukaryota; Viridiplantae; Streptophyta; Magnoliopsida; Malvales; Malvaceae.
CCCCACUUGUACUGUAUGUACUGACUGCCUGCCUCAAUGCCUAUUGACUUACUAGUCACUUUACUGAGUUCCAGAGUGAUAGGCGGGGAAGGAAGUACCAACAUGUGAGCUAGUUACUUUCGUGCUCGUGCAAAAAAAGACUAUGAAGUUAAUAAAGGAAUAGUGGCGUUUAGGCUGUUAUAGGUCUGUAAAGGCCUUUAGGGCUUACUUAGGCUUCAGCAAUUAGAGCACUUAAGAUAGGUAGAAUUAUAGAGGGCUUAGAGAUAGAUAGCAGAGGUCCUUAUUAGUUCAACAAGUAAGAGAAGAAGGAAAAGAUAUCAGAUUCAUUCCAAGCUUCAUUCUUUUAACAAAAAUAUCGUUAAAUAGACUGACCUUUA